GUUUCCAAAACACAUUACCCCAUUUCUUGGAACCACUGAUGCUUUCUGUCUGCAUUGACUCAAGCUUCUACACAGGCAGUGACUCUUAAAAACAGACUCUACGUCAGCCAUAAGAAAAACUUGAUUCCCUGUUAUCAGUCAUAGUGUCAUAGCUUGAAUCUUUCUGUCAACCUGGAAUUGGAAAUUCGCAGGUCUCGAGAUACAGAAAUGAAGGUCAAGGAAGUGAACUGAAGAAAGUGAAUGAACUGAGAGAGGAAGGGAAGGUGACAUUUCAAGAGAAGAGAAGCUUUUGAAGUUAACACAGAAGGCAAUCUUGUUGCUGGCAUCCAUCUCCAGAACUCAUCUCACAGACCUGCAAGCUGUUGCUGGCUCCGGUACCACGAGGCAAGUUUUGUCUAGCUUGCUGUUGCUGUGCACAAGGUGACCACACUUUCAUGAUUCUUCAGGAUUUUUAUUUGUUCUGAUAGCCACUAUAACUCCUUCAAAAAAGAAAGCUGAAUUUUUGACCAUUCUGAACUCUCUGCUGUAGCCAGAUGCUGCACUCUUCUGUUUUCUAGGAACUUCUCUUGUGAAAGAUUCAAGAUUCAAGAAAAGGAAUGAAAAAGAAAUAAUACCCUGUUGGUCCAUGACAUCAGAAGUAGAUGUUGGUGGUAUGGCAGUAGAGGCUGAACUUCCACUAAUAUUCUGAUACACUUUUUUGCCAUGUGACAGAUGGCAGCAGAGAAGCAGUCUGACAAACUGGCAUCUGGCAUGAGAGUGCAUAUGAAGCAAAGAUGUGUCAUUAAACUCCUUCAUGCAGAAAAAAAUUGCAUCCAUUGACAUUCAUCAAUGCUUGCUGGACAUUUAUGGAGACAAAACAGGGGAUGUGAACACAGUGAAGUGGUGGAUGGUGUGUUCCAGCAUUAGCAACAGCGACAGCGGGUUAGUGCAUCCACUGAUACAGACUUUUACAAUCAUGAGAACAUCCCAAGUUACAGCACAUCACGCUUUUUUUCUCCACCCACAUCCCCUCUGUUUUCUCAUACUGACCUCACAGCUUUUAUUCUUCCUGGCAGAGAUACUUUUUGUCCUGACUCAGUUUAUGUAUACAAAUGAAGUUGUAAUGUACAGAGGUCAGAGCUGCUCUGAUGGAAGGCUGCUGGUGCCUCUCCCUGUGCAUGCCCCCACAUAAAACAGGUGGAUUUAGUCUGACUCUAUGACUCUAAUCCUUUUCUCAUCAGACCAUGACUAAAGCAUAGAACUGAUUUUUUUUUUUUUUUUUACUUAAAACAAUUUGAUUUUCCUAUCCUCCUUAAAUUCAAAGUAAAUAAAAAUGAAAUAAAAAAGAAAUCAGAGCCAUAUUUGUUAAAACUUUCCAAAUAAAAUUACUUUUGGAUGGAAACCAUUUCUGAAUGUUAUUAGACA
Lagopus leucura (white-tailed ptarmigan) is the source of this 1404-nucleotide long non-coding RNA. RefSeq lists it as uncharacterized. Lineage: Eukaryota; Metazoa; Chordata; Aves; Galliformes; Phasianidae. The record is from RefSeq and is a predicted model, not a curated record. The transcript is spliced from 3 exons.